RNAcentral lists this ribosomal RNA (1451 nucleotides) under uncultured bacterium. Its description in RNAcentral is "bacterial SSU rRNA". It matches the Rfam family "Bacterial small subunit ribosomal RNA". The record is from RNAcentral.
GGCUCAGGAUGAACGCUAGCUACAGGCUUAACACAUGCAAGUCGAGGGGCAGCAUUUCAGUUUGCUUGCAAACUGGAGAUGGCGACCGGCGCACGGGUGAGUAACACGUAUCCAACCUGCCGAUAACUCGGGGAUAGCCUUUCGAAAGAAAGAUUAAUACCCGAUGGUAUAAUCAGACCGCAUGGUCUUGUUAUUAAAGAAUUUCGGUUAUCGAUGGGGAUGCGUUCCAUUAGGCAGUUGGUGAGGUAACGGCUCACCAAACCUUCGAUGGAUAGGGGUUCUGAGAGGAAGGUCCCCCACAUUGGAACUGAGACACGGUCCAAACUCCUACGGGAGGCAGCAGUGAGGAAUAUUGGUCAAUGGGCGCAGGCCUGAACCAGCCAAGUAGCGUGAAGGAUGACUGCCCUAUGGGUUGUAAACUUCUUUUAUAUGGGAAUAAAGUUUUCCACGUGUGGAAUUUUGUAUGUACCAUAUGAAUAAGGAUCGGCUAACUCCGUGCCAGCAGCCGCGGUAAUACGGAGGAUCCGAGCGUUAUCCGGAUUUAUUGGGUUUAAAGGGAGCGUAGGUGGACAGUUAAGUCAGUUGUGAAAGUUUGCGGCUCAACCGUAAAAUUGCAGUUGAUACUGGCUGUCUUGAGUACAGUAGAGGUGGGCGGAAUUCGUGGUGUAGCGGUGAAAUGCUUAGAUAUCACGAAGAACUCCGAUUGCGAAGGCAGCUCACUGGACUGCAACUGACACUGAUGCUCGAAAGUGUGGGUAUCAAACAGGAUUAGAUACCCUGGUAGUCCACACAGUAAACGAUGAAUACUCGCUGUUUGCGAUAUACAGUAAGCGGCCAAGCGAAAGCAUUAAGUAUUCCACCUGGGGAGUACGCCGGCAACGGUGAAACUCAAAGGAAUUGACGGGGGCCCGCACAAGCGGAGGAACAUGUGGUUUAAUUCGAUGAUACGCGAGGAACCUUACCCGGGCUUAAAUUGCAUUUGAAUAUAUUGGAAACAGUAUAGUCGUAAGACAAAUGUGAAGGUGCCGCAUGGUUGUCGUCAGCUCGUGCCGUGAGGUGUCGGCUUAAGUGCCAUAACGAGCGCAACCCUUAUCUUUAGUUACUAACAGGUCAUGCUGAGGACUCUAGAGAGACUGCCGUCGUAAGAUGUGAGGAAGGUGGGGAUGACGUCAAAUCAGCACGGCCCUUACGUCCGGGGCUACACACGUGUUACAAUGGGGGGUACAGAAGGCAGCUACCUGGUGACAGGAUGCUAAUCCCAAAAGCCUCUCUCAGUUCGGAUCGAAGUCUGCAACCCGACUUCGUGAAGCUGGAUUCGCUAGUAAUCGCGCAUCAGCCAUGGCGCGGUGAAUACGUUCCCGGGCCUUGUACACACCGCCCGUCAAGCCAUGAAAGCCGGGGGUACCUGAAGUACGUAACCGCAAGGAGCGUCCUAGGGUAAAACUGGUAAU